RNAcentral lists this transfer RNA (63 nucleotides) under Mus terricolor (Earth-colored mouse). RNAcentral's name for it is "partial tRNA-Phe". Lineage: Eukaryota; Metazoa; Chordata; Mammalia; Rodentia; Muridae. The record is from RNAcentral.
GUUAAUGUAGCUUAAUACAAACAAAGCACUGAAAAGCUUUAGAUGGAUAUUUUACCCCCAAUA